This 252-nucleotide ribosomal RNA is filed under the name uncultured bacterium. RNAcentral describes it as "partial 16S ribosomal RNA". It matches the Rfam family "Bacterial small subunit ribosomal RNA", at positions 524 to 776 of the family's 1533-position model. The record is from RNAcentral.
UACGGAGGAUGCGAGCGUUAUCCGGAUUUAUUGGGUUUAAAGGGUGCGUAGGCGGAAUAUCAAGUCAGCGGUAAAAAUUCGGGGCUCAACCCCGUCGUGCCGUUGAAACUGAUGUUCUUGAGUGGGCGAGAAGUAUGCGGAAUGCGUGGUGUAGCGGUGAAAUGCAUAGAUAUCACGCAGAACUCCGAUUGCGAAGGCAGCAUACCGACGCCCAACUGACGCUGAAGCACGAAAGCGUGGGUAUCGAACAGG